Molecule: RNA transcript, 5832 nt
Organism: Cuculus canorus (common cuckoo)
Lineage: Eukaryota; Metazoa; Chordata; Aves; Cuculiformes; Cuculidae
Gene: SMIM5
Gene name: small integral membrane protein 5
Exons: 5
Source: RefSeq, a predicted model, not a curated record
GCAAGCCCUUGGCAGGGGAUGUGCAGAGCAACAAGUGCUGGCACUGGGUGCUGUGGGAGGCUGCACCCGCGCUGGCUCCGCUUGCGGUGCUCCUGGCUGCCCGCCUCCUUCCCUCUCUGGCACACACGUAACACAAAACUUCACAUCUCCGGGACAACCGGCAAGGAAACCAGCAGAGCCAACAGCUGGCUGUCAGUGGCGAGAAGCGGAGCGAGGAGCCCGACGAGCCAGUGUGAGGGGAGAGGUGACAUGAAAGUUUGAGUAGACAGGAAGAAAAACAAGCGGAGAAGAGUUCGUGGCAUGCCUGGGCAGAAAUCCCAGAGCAGCAAGAGCCCUCAGAACCAGCAUGCAGUGGGAAGUGCAGUUGAGCUGAAAACCAUUUGCUUCCUCCUGGGCAGGUUGGAGACUGCACCUGCAACAUCCCACUUUGUCUCUGAAGAAGUUCAAACUGAGCACAAAGCCUCGGCAGGUUGGCCGAGAAUGUCUUCGCAAGGCUUGCUGAAGGAAAUGCAAACCCUUGGUGAGAAGUUCCUCUUUAAGCUCCAGAACCUGCCCAAGGCUGACCCGGUGGAGAUUGUGUUCUUUUGCGUGGUUCUCCUGUUCAUCGUUACUGUUCUGCUGCUCAUGAUCAUUGCCUGCAGUUGUUGCUGCUACAGCUGCUGUGGCUGCGACGAACGGCCUGACCACAGACGUAAGAAGAUCCAGGUCUGCCCAACUGCCCAUUCCUGAAGUGCAAAGGGAGUUGACACAACCUGCUAUCAAGGACACAAAUGGACAUCAUGAGUCAGUCCUGCAGGAAUGACCACCUACACUAGCUCACUGAAAACGGCAAUAACAACAUUAAUUAACAUGACUCAGAGGACCAGAAAACAUAGUACGGAAUUCCUUCUGUCUGUGACAGCCAGCGCUGGCUCUGUGGCGUGGCCAAAAGGGUAAUGCUACUUUUUCAUCCCUGUCUCCCUCUUCUGGUGUUGGUGGGGGUGCAGGACACAUGCUGCCAAGAAAACAGACAAGCUUUCUCAGUGCCAGCCCUGCAGCUGCGCCAGUCUAGGAUUCCCCCUGCGAGCACGGAGCCACGGACCAAAGCAGAGAACAUGUGGGAGCACGGCCACAGCUCCCACUGUCUUCAUAUGCAGUUUAUCCAACGAUGGAGCUGGGUGCGAGCAAAACCCACGGACAUGACUGGGAGAUCCACAUGCCUGGUCCAUCUUGGAUCAAGCCCAACCUUGCCCUCCUAAAAGUCACUGCAACAGACACGUUUAGCUGAGAUGUCUCCUAGAAAAAAAUCAUGGAUAUUAUGAUACAGACAUGCCAGCUGAGGCUCUAAGUGCAGCUGGUAAGAAACACUCCCUGCAUUUCAUAGCUGCUACAAUGGUAUGAAAUAACCAAAGAGAAAAAACAGACCACAUGCAAUAUCCUUUGUAAACAGAAGAAUGAGGGCAAAAGGGAAAAACUCACCAAUGCUAUGGCCUAAUUUGAUCAUCCUGCUGCUAAAUGUGCUCCCUCCUAAUCCCCACGUGGUUCUGCUCCUCUGCUCAGUACAGGGGAUCGUCCUUAAGGCGCACAGGAGUUACAGGAGGUGAACAUACUCAUCCUCACCUGAGAGAUCAGUGUGCCCGGCUCCCUGCACUGUGUGCAGUUUAUUUUAGUGGACAUAACCACCAUGCCUGAGGUGUGAUUAUCAGCACACAAGGCGUUUUGGAGGGCUGACACACAGUCUGGUAACCGGCACCCUGGGGCAUGCAUGCAGCAGCUGGCAGCAGGCACUGUGACAAAAGCGAGCCACAACGGGGCUGUAUGGCUGAAGUUUGCAAGCGCAAAUAAAUCCCUUUCCCAUGCUGCAGCCACUAUGUAUGUUUGAGUUACACUUCGGUGAACUUUAGAAAAGGAUCUGAGUAAGUACUGAGCUUUGGCGCAGGCCACAGCUUUCAUAACCUGGACAGCCAAGCAGAAGGCCAAAACAUUGCCCUUAACUCUGUAAGACAGUUACUUGCAGAUGGAUAAGUCACCUUCUACCUUGGUAUUCCAGCUGCUAAGCACAGGGGAGGAGAAGGGAUUACACAUCUAUAUCCCAGAACCAAUAGCCAGCUACAGAAAAGAAUCACUGGGUCUGUAAUAGUGGGGUUUCAAAUGUUCUUCAGUCUUCAGAAAGGACAAAAAAGGGAAAACCUCAUAAAGAAACCUCUUUUUGCUGAUGCCCUACCCCAAUUAGUAAAAAGACCAUUACAGUCAUAGCUUCACAUGUACUUAACACACUUUAAUUUUUGCAAAGAAACUAGGCUUAAGUAUUUCCACUUCUGUGCUGCUGCACACUGGAAUCUCUGCAGUGACACAGGGAAAUGCUUACACAUUAAGGAUAUAUACCUCAAACUACCAAUAUUGUAAAUUGAUGAAAAUGUUCUAGCAGAAGAUGAGUAUGUUCCUUAAGAAGUAGAUAUCCAAGCCCCCACUUGACAACCACCAACAGAGACUGCACUGGCACGAGCUGCUGCACUCACACGUACCCUGAGGCUAACAAAGUGCUGUCCUAGAGCUUUCCCUCCCAGCCAAUACGUGGGCUAGGACAAGCUCAAGCCAGGCAUCAGCAUUCGGAGAUGCGUGGCACUAACCUCUCUGUCAGAUAUGUUUGUAGGUGAAAUGAGCAAAGACAAGUGACAAGCAGGGUGACAUAAGAAGGCUCAGAAUCUCUUUUGCAGAGGACAGACUAAACAGAUGUUACUGUAUCAGAGCUGAGUCACGAGACCUGUGAAAGAACAGAGCAUUCUUUCUCUCCUGGCCUGUGACAGAUAGUGCCAGCUCCGGGAAUUAACAGAACCCCAUUGAGAAGUGUCUCAGCAGCAUGGAACCAGGUUGUGCUAACAGUCAGGAGGAAGCUCAGCGGGCUGGAAACCAACGGCUGCCAGGUUGCUGUCCUAGGAACAAGCUGCCAAGCCUUAUAUCAACAGGAAAAGCUACAAAUACAAGUUUCCAGUGGUGUUUCCAGUUAAACCACUGACAGACAACAGGCACGGGGACAAGAGAAACUACUCCUGUCUUAUCUCUGUCACUGUAAGUUCCUGAAUUAGAAGCAGAAAAUAAACAUAAAACUGUUAAAAAAGAGAAGGAGAGAAAAUUAAGCCAUUUUCUAAAGAACUCUGGUGGCUUUGUGGAGCAGCCACAACGUAGAGGAAGGGUCCCUGGACAGUUUCUGUGUACCUGCCUGGAUCUCACAGGCCUAAUGCUCUGCUUUGUACCAGUUUGUACCACUGUACUCAGCUGGGCUACUCUCAGACUCUGUGUUUAGAUACACCCAUUGCUCACCUGGGCUGUGUGAAUGGAUGCUGCCUGCAUGCAUGCAAUGGAUCAGGUGGGCUUGAAGAUGCCCAGCAGAUGCUUGGCUUACUGCAGCUCUUCACUUUCUGCAGCCAAGAAACAUAAGGUCUCUGGGUCCCUGCUCACCACUCACGUAACCUUUGGUGGUUUUAGCUUCCAUCUUGACCCACACAAAGGAACCUGGGAUGCCCUGAGCACUAGUGAGGAUGGAUUCUCUCCAUUUUGAAAAGCAGAGAGAGAUUCAGAAAAGCACAGACUCAGGCUAGUGCUUCAGACACAGCAAUGUCUGCAUGCGUCAUGAAAGCCAGAGAGAGCCCAGAAGGAACUGCAAGGGAAUAGUUACUUCAGUCCUGAUGAUAUGAGUGUUGAAACAGUUUUCCCCCCCAAGGACCCUAAAAGAGACCACGAGGCCAGCCUCUCCAACAGCGACUUAAUGGAACAGCUUCUGUUCUCUAACAUCAUCUCUCUGCUUUCAAAGGGAUUUGCUUGGCUUGUGAAAAACAAGGGUUUUUUCAUACACACAUAGUCUCAAACAACACACUCUCCUUUCUCCCAUCCCACCUCUCACCAGCACCAUCCCUCUGGUCCUUCAGUUACAAAAGUCAGGGAGUUGGCAGUAUUGCAGUAGGCAGUAGUAAAAAGGCUCUCUAAUGUAUUUAUCCACCUGAACUGCCAUGACGCAGAUUACACAGGAAAUCAGUCUUGUUCACACUCUUAUUUCAGAUCUGGCAGCCUCCUAGCAGAACUUACAAUGCAGAUCCAGUCAGGACCCAGGACACAAAGCUCUCUCCUCCCCACCACAGUCUGCAGCCUCUCCCAGUCAGAGGGCAUAGUGGACCUUACAGGCACAGGAAGAGGUGCCUGCUGUGUGAGAAAAGCCAUGGAGAGGAAGAGACAUCCAAGCAACAUCUCAUCCGGGUCCUUUUACCCAAGCCUUCGAUUAGAUUAGCCACACCUUUGCAGGCAAUCAGCUAUUAAUCAUUUACUGCAGUGUAAACAGCUGGCUUCCAAGCUGGCUUUGUGAGCCUGCAGGUGCAGGAAGUGGGGACCCUCACCACAGACCACAAUCUCUGGGAGUGGGCGCAGAGGAGGCACCAGAAGGAACACCUGCAGGUCCAGCAGGGUGGAAGCCAGUAUGUCACCAGGACAAGAGAUGUCCUCGGUUCUGGGGGACCUGAAGAGGCUGAUUGCAACAAGUGACUGGGCUCUUGCAGGGUUGGUGGUGAUCGGCACCUUCUGUCUUGUUCUUGUUGCUCUCCUCUUAUUUGCCGCCAUCUUUGGGUGCUGCUCAUCCCCUAGGCACAAAUGGAGCAGUGUGUAGCGAGCAAAGCUCAGACGCGGUGCCUGGAGCCCCAUGAGCUAUGCGAUAAUCAGCCCAGCAACUACUCAACUGUGCUGCUCAUAGUUUCUUCACCUUCUCUGCCUGGGUGGCUAUUUUUCCCCACGUAACUUCCCUGCCUCACCAGCAAUGUGGCACUGCUAGCAAGUCAUUCUGCAAGCCCACCGUAAACUCAGCACGUAAGGCUCUGCACGUUCAGGAACUGCGUGGCAGACAAAUACCAAAGCCAACCCGUUAUUGCCCGAUUUUCAUCUUUCAAGCAAAACCAUGGGUAAGAGGUGGCAAAUGGUCGACCACCACCUAAAACUGAUCAAGAUGUCUUCUGUCGCUGCAGUUAUGUGGGGUUUUUUCCACCCAUAGGCAACAGGAAACUCUGACCAGCAAAAGCUUUGUCUAAGCCCCUCUUUCAAAGCAGCGUGCACCAUUGUUCUGCCAUACUCGGACAAGAGCCUAAAUACACAAUGCAAAAAACUUGCUUGCCAGUGCAUCGGUCUGCCUUCAUUUGUUCUUAUUUAGAACGUCGCAAGGUCAGAGUUCCAGGUUUACUUACACUGGUUGGAUGGUGAACAGAACUGCGUGAGCUCAAAACGUAAAACAGAAAUGCAACGUGGUGUUCCUGUAAACAGCAUCCUAGUCCCCUGCACAGCUGAGGAGCAGGGAAGCCAGUCAGCAGGGCUGCAGUGUGUGACUGGGGUGCACAGGGCAUGUUGUACUGUAGGGAGAGUGUGCCAAGCUGGGGGAGGGAAGAAAAAGCAUAGGAGACAAUUUCUAAAUAGGCGGGUGAUAUUCCCUUACAGAAACCUCUUUCAUUUGCCCAGUGAAAUCCUGUUUUCAUCACUAUUCCUGAGCAAAUGAGAAUGUUUUCCCUCUGCCCUUGCUCAGCUACUGCCCCAGUGCCACAGAGCAGCUCUAGAGAAUGUCCUCACUUCAGAGCAGUCAGGCUCUUUACAGCAUGCAUGAAGCAGAAGAUGCUGUGAGACGGUUAUGUGGGGCCCAGCUCCUCUCCUGACACAGACUCCUGCAAUGAGUAGUAAAAAACCAGAAGGAGCAGAGCUGUGCAGCCAAGUAAGUGGAUCAAAAUCCUAUAGCAAGAAGCUUCCUCGUAGCUCCUUCCCACACAGAAUCACUAUGACUUUCAGCAAAGAAGUGCUGCUUCUAGUGCCCCAGCUCGUGCCAUAAUU